Lycium ferocissimum is the source of this 407-nucleotide long non-coding RNA. RefSeq lists it as uncharacterized. The record is from RefSeq and is a predicted model, not a curated record. The transcript has 2 exons. NCBI's taxonomy places the organism in Eukaryota, Viridiplantae, Streptophyta, Magnoliopsida, Solanales, Solanaceae.
UUUUAAAAUAGACUUUGAUUCUUGGUUAAUGCAUCCCGAAACUUUUCUAAUUAAUUUUUCUUAUACUCUUGCAGCAUCGAUGAUUUUGCUGGAUAACACCUAAUGAAUUUAUUAGAUUGCUUUUGGGGUUUUGAAGAUUGAAUUUGACAAGUCAAGAUGGAAUUUUAGAAGAUGCACAAGCUCAUUAUUUUGCUAGGAAUGUUAUGCACUCUCUAUCGUAGUCUAGCUCAAGUGUUAGCAAUGUUUUUUUGUUAAGGUGUCGAGCAAAUAUUGAAACUAACAUCAUGGGAUGUUAACAAUUUUACUGUAAUUAAUAACUCUAUCUUCCUCUUUAUAUAUAUAACGCUUUUGUAUCUAGAUGUUUUAGUAGGAAUCCGAUAUUUAUUGAUAAAAUAAUUUUUUUGUGA